This 200-nucleotide ribosomal RNA is filed under the name uncultured prokaryote. RNAcentral's name for it is "partial 16S ribosomal RNA". It matches the Rfam family "Bacterial small subunit ribosomal RNA", at positions 1184 to 1382 of the family's 1533-position model. The record is from RNAcentral.
GUCAAGUCAGCAUGCCCCUUAUAUCCUGGGCUACACACGUGCUACAAUGGUAAAGACAAUGAGUCGCAAGCUCGCGAGAGUCUGCUAAUCUGGUAAACUUUGCCUAAGUUCAGAUUGUAGGCUGCAACUCGCCUGCAUGAAGUCGGAAUCGCUAGUAAUCGCUGGUCAGCCAUACAGCGGUGAAUCCGUUCCCGGGCCUU